Molecule: ribosomal RNA, 3419 nt
Filed under: Triticum aestivum (bread wheat)
Lineage: Eukaryota; Viridiplantae; Streptophyta; Magnoliopsida; Poales; Poaceae
Description: partial small subunit ribosomal RNA
Source: RNAcentral
GCCGCUACCGACGAGGUCGGAAGAGGUUGCUCCGAAUGAUGAUGUCCUCCCCUCCCCUCCCCUCCCCUCUCACUCUUCCCUCCCUUGCCCGACACUGGAUUUGUGGGUCAAAACCCCAUUUCCUCCCUUACCCGGUUUGAAAACCCGGGUUUAAAGAGAGAGGUCAAUUAACCGGGUCACCCUAUUUAGUCGGAAUUAGGCGAUCUGGUCAAUUGCGCUUCCUAUACGACAAUAGUGUAGGCGCUGGAUGCCUUAGUCCUAAUUGACCGGUUAAUUGAAUUUAUAACCGACUAUAAAACUUGUCACCCCUGUAUAUCCCUACAAUGGGACAGUUAGAUGAUUAAAAGUCAAAGAAACCGUAACUGUUAUUUAGCUAAAGUGGAAGACUACAUCCCUUGUAUUAGAUCAGUCAUAAAGACCUUACGAUUCACAUCCACACAGCCGGCCGGGUUACGGUGCGAUCUAGCUUUCUUACUUUUCUGUGUUCUUCGGAUCAUUUAGGAAGCGUAAAACGCUGGUAAGGGCGCUCCUGAUGCUAAGCCUCGUCUUGGGUCAAAGUAGGAUUAUUUAUUAGAACUAAUAUCUUGACGAGAGAAGGUAGGAGGGCGUAUGCAUGUAAGAAAUUACACCUACGCACGGUCCACGGUUAUCACGGUAUCUUAGAUACAGGAGAACUCACAAUUGUAGUACCGGAGAAGAACCGUAGAGAAACAGGAUGGUCCUUCUGAUAAGAAGUCGUGAUAUCGUGUACUCUAGCUGUACAAAAAGAACAUUGGCGUACCAGAUGAAUUAAGAUGAUCUUCUCAUGAAAAUAUCUACAUUAGUACAUCUACUCCUCCUUUCAUUAUCACAUUCAUGUAGUUACGUACGACUGUGUUAAGUCAAAGUACCCGGAACCAACCGACUCAGGAUACGUGGUACGGGGUAUUAGUUCGAGGGAAAUUGAGGGACUAAAUCGUAGUAAGCGUACACUUCGUACAUAUAUAAUUGUGUAAACGUACGUACAGGUCCUAAUCGAUGGGGAAAGACGAAAUACGUAAAGAAUUAUAUAUAACUAGAUCACGUCCUUCAAGGUGGUGACCUAAAUUUGCUUGAGGAACGCAUAAAAGAUUUCGUUAGACCUGGUAACAAACUGGUUGAACCAUAUUUUUCUCUACACACACUGUUCGACCACCUCAGAGAUACGUCGUUCGCGUUCCUGGUGAAACGUACACUAGGCAACAGUUGAUCACUUAGUAGAAGGAAGUCUUUACUGUUAUGAACACUACUUGAACUAGAUUCUUAUCGAUCGCAGGAAGUCUCAUGUCCCGUAGUAAUACUUCCACCCAAAACCCUACUACCCGUUUUUAUACUACAUCGACUGUUCUCUGUACAACGGUAACAGUGAUGGCGGUCAGAAGGGACCUACUGCCCUUGUCGACAUUUAGGAAACAAAGCUCGACGUAUGAACCGAUUUAGAAGGUUCGUUAUACAUUGGAACUACCACGGGACCGAAACGUUCAGUCUGGUUCUCGAGCAGAUAGGCUUAUUGUACUGAAAAUCAAGAGGUCUUCUGGUUCUUUGAAUAUAUUCCUUAACCGACCUCCUUUCUCAACCUAAAUUUUGGCUGAAGUCUUAUAGUAAGAUAGGACCUUUCAAAGUCUUUCUUUCCUCUUCAUAUUAAGGACGACCCCUGUGAAGUGUUAAAUAUGGUAGUUUCCUUCGACUGUAACGUUAAGACCUUCUCGGACUCGUGGACUUGACCAUGGUAGUACCUUUCGCAACCUGACUAUUUAAAUUAGUACAGCAGCCACAACACGUAUGUUUAAUGAACCUCAUAUAGUUCUCUCUCUUCUUACCACGAUAAGUUCGAAAAAAACAGUUCGUGUAAUUGUUGGAACAACGGUCUCGAAUAACGGUAUUCCAAAACGCUGAUAGACCCCGAUGAGUUCUAGAUCGGUCUAGGUACUAGACGUUACAUGUACCACAAUUAGGGUUCAAAGACCUCCAACCCCUCUCUUAUCGUCGUCUCUCCCUUAGACCGCUCGUCAGGUACAGGUUUCCUCGAAUAAAAGACCCCUUCUACCAGACCCGGUUUCCGAUGUCUCUUGACUAUCUAAACGAACGCUUCGUGUUCUGCCUAAACCUGCCAAAGUUUGACCUGCAGAUACCUUUGCCACUUCUAAGUCAUCUUCACGUUAGUCGACGGUUCUUCGACCUAAAUUUAGAAUUGAAGGUAUUUCCGGCUCUAGUACGUCUGCUAAGAGAAGUACCCAUGUUCCAAAAACAUUUGGGCUCGUAAUCACUACAGGAGACGUGGCGGUGACGACUCCGUGAUCGGUACCCGUUCAAACACCAGACACGCCUAGUGGGUAGGUUACUAAAGAAGUCUAGUAAGGGUUUGACGGACUGCAUGUGCUGCAGUCUCCUAAAACAACGGUUUCACUUCCUUCGUUACUGGGCGCUAGGGGUCGGGGAGUGUGGACUCGUCGCCAUGUUGGAAAGCACCCUCCGACGCUGGGUCUCCAAGUACCUCGUGAGUCUUGACCUGUUCCAGGACUCGUCGUUACCACUAAGACGGUCGUGGAGACCUUCGUCGCAGCUAUCCUCCUACUUCUUUAGUCGGAGUAACGGUUUGUACAGCCUGUAGCACCUACCGCCGGAUCGUAAACGGGUGAUGACGAAGUGCCCGUCGCUCGAGGAGGCCGACAGCUGACCCCGCCACGGGCCCUGGGACUUGAUGUUAUUCGUUGUAUCGCACCUGUACGUGGACGACGGGGGAGUCCAUGUCUUAGGACAUAUACCGACCAUUCUGUCUUGGUGACGACAAUCAUCAUGUAUCUAUCCAGACAUUAAACACUGUGAUUAAGAAAAAGGAGGAGAGGAGUUACGGUUGCCGUUUCGGAACAAGUAAUAAUAGUUAUACUUGAUGUCUGAUGAACAUCGUGAUCUAUUCUCAACACAUAAGCUAGGGAACUCAAAACUACCGGUAAAAAGUGACCCUGCGAGUGUAGAAACAUACCGACCAUGUCAUCGUUACUCUUAGGAUACGGGUAAAGGGACACAGACGUGGCUUUGACCGGACGCAGCGAGGAGCGUACGCACAUGGCGUGACCACGUGAGUAUGCGACGAGGUGACAAAAGAUAGAUAGAUGAGGCUGAACAUACGCCAUGUCAUACGAGAUCACCAUGGUACUAACUAAAGUACUGUCCAUCUCGAACCUUACAGACGGACCAUGGUGAUGUCAUGCGGAAGUGUGACUACCGAGAACCCCUCUCCCGAGACGGCAGCUACGGUGCAGUGGGGACGGGUGGGUCGUACACAACAACCAACCGGGUUGACGACGGACGACGUAGUGGAUCCAUCCAACCAUGGGGAUGGGUCAUGACCGUACGGUCAACACCCGGAGCCCGGAGACUGCUCACUCGGGAAGAGGGGG